GCGCGGCUGGUGGAAUUGGCAGACACAAAGGACUUAGGAUCCUUCGCUACGGCGUGCGGGUUCAAAUCCCGCGCCGCGUACCA
Molecule: transfer RNA, 83 nt
Filed under: Lentisphaeria bacterium
Lineage: Bacteria; Pseudomonadati; Lentisphaerota; Lentisphaeria
Description: tRNA-Leu
Rfam family: tRNA
About the family: Transfer RNA (tRNA) molecules are approximately 80 nucleotides in length. Their secondary structure includes four short double-helical elements and three loops (D, anti-codon, and T loops).
Source: RNAcentral